Molecule: ribosomal RNA, 424 nt
Filed under: uncultured bacterium
Lineage: Bacteria
Description: SSU rRNA
Rfam family: Bacterial small subunit ribosomal RNA
Source: RNAcentral
CAAUGGGGGAAACCCUGAAUGCAGCGACGCCGCGUGGAGGAAGAAGGUCUUCGCNAUUGUAAACUCCUGUUGUUGAGGAAGAUAAUGACGGUACUCAACAAGGAAGUGACGGCUAACUACGUGCCAGCAGCCGCGGUAAAACGUAGGUCACAAGCGUUGUCCGGAAUUACUGGGUGUAAAGGGAGCGCAGGCGGGAAGACAAGUUGGAAGUGAAAUCUAUGGGCUCAACCCAUAAACUGCUUUCAAAACUGUUUUUCUUGAGUAGUGCAGAGGUAGGCGGAAUUCCCGGUGUAGCGGUGGAAUGCGUAGAUAUCGGGAGGAACACCAGUGGCGAAGGCGGCCUACUGGGCACCAACUGACGCUGAGGCUCGAAAGUGUGGGUAGCAAACAGGAUUAGAUACCCUGGUAGUCCAAGGGCGAAUUC